GGCUCAGAGCUGGAGUGACGCGGCCAAGGUCAGAGCAGGGCUAGAAGCAGCUGCCAAGCUCUCUGCCCCUCGGCAGAGGCAUCAUACGCUGCCCACACUGGCCCCUUCUGAAGUUCAAGAGGCUGGAGGCAUCAGGACUCACCGAGGUUGCUGACGUGGGUCAGGACAGGGUCCUGGCUUCCCCCUGUGGCCUGUGGACUCCUUCCCUGGGGCAACUGCCAAGGCCACGCUGUCUUUCCUCCCUGGGAGUCUGCCAGGGCAGCUAGGCAUGGAGCCUCUCGGGAAGCGGGGCUCUGGGCCAGGUGAAAGAAGUCUCCCCAAAGAAAGCUCCCUCCAGGACACACAGUGACCAGGCCCUGGGCUCACGGUACCUGUGGAGGGCUCAGUUACACCCAGGCUGCGUGCGAGUCUGUCUCCUGGCACAGUGGCUUGGGACCUCUCCAGGUUGCCAGGCGCAUUUUCCAGUCAGCUGCUGGGUCCCUUUAAGAGAGCUGGCCCCUCUUAUUGGCUGAGCAAGGCUCCUCCUACCUCUUUACCUGCACAGGUGACAGAAGCCGGGCUUAGGAACCCAGGUCUAGAAACAACGGCCAGCCCUUUAGUGAGCAGUGUGCACCACUAGUGCAUAGACUGUGGUCUCUAUUAUUUUCCUUGAAAAAUACACAGCUGAUUCUGCUUCUGGGCUGAGAACGUACAAUAUGUACUGAGACUAUUUUCCACUGCCACAAAUCAAGGACAACAUUGUGUCAGAGGGACAUGAAGAGACUAUCGUUGGUCAAAGUCAACAAUUUGAGCACCGGGAUCAAAUAUACUGAAAUGUUUACAGAUGGAAACAGUAUGAUGUCUGGG
RNAcentral lists this long non-coding RNA (846 nucleotides) under Heterocephalus glaber (naked mole-rat). Its description in RNAcentral is "lncRNA (ENSHGLG00000047330.1)". Lineage: Eukaryota; Metazoa; Chordata; Mammalia; Rodentia; Bathyergidae. The record is from RNAcentral.